RNAcentral lists this unclassified non-coding RNA (257 nucleotides) under Mucoromycotina sp. RNAcentral describes it as "partial contains small subunit ribosomal RNA, internal transcribed spacer 1, and 5.8S ribosomal RNA". The stretch from base 1 to 47 matches the Rfam family "Eukaryotic small subunit ribosomal RNA", at positions 1785 to 1831 of the family's 1831-position model. Lineage: Eukaryota; Fungi; Mucoromycota. The record is from RNAcentral.
AAAGUCGUAACAAGGUUUCCGUAGGUGAACCUGCGGAAGGAUCAUUCACAAUAAGUGUUUAUGGCACUUUCAAAUCCAUACCCACCUUGUGUGCAUUGUAAAGGCCCUUCCUUUCAACUCGCUCUCUCUCUCCUUUGGGAGGAGGGAAGAAGGAGGAAGACUGGGCUUCAUUUUCUCACACGUCUUCAAUUGCAAGUCUAACAUUCAGAGUAAUCAAAACUCGAAUACAACUUUCAACAACGGAUCUCUUGGCUCUC